GGCCAGACUUUGAUCCUGGCUCAGGAUGAACGCUAGCUACAGGCCUAACACAUGCAAGUCGAGGGGAAACGGCAGCUUAGCUUGCUAAGCUGGACGUCGACCGGCGCACGGGUGAGUAACGCGUAUCCAACCUGCCCCACGGUGAGGGAUAACCCGCGGAAACGCGGCCUAAUACCUCAUGGUCUCCGAGUUUGCCAUCAACCUUGGAGUAAAGAUUCAUUGCCGUGGGAUGGGGAUGCGUCUGAUUAGCUUGUUGGCGGGGCAACGGCCCACCAAGGCAACGAUCAGUAGGGGUUCUGAGAGGAAAGCCCCCCACAUUGGAACUGAGACACGGUCCAAACUCCUACGGGAGGCAGCAGUGAGGAAUAUUGGUCAAUGGGCGAGAGCCUGAACCAGCCAAGUAGCGUGCAGGAAGACGGCCCUAUGGGUUGUAAACUGCUUUUAUGCGGGGAUAAAGCGGGCGACGUGUCGCCCUUUGCAGGUACCGCAUGAAUAAGGACCGGCUAAUUCCGUGCCAGCAGCCGCGGUAAUACGGAAGGUCCGGGCGUUAUCCGGAUUUAUUGGGUUUAAAGGGAGCGCAGGCCGGGUAUUAAGCGUGUUGUGAAAUGUAGGCGCCCAACGUCUGCACCGCAGCGCGAACUGGUGCCCUUGAGUACGCACGACGUUGGCGGAAUUCGCCGUGUAGCGGUGAAAUGCUUAGAUAUGGCGAAGAACUCCGAUUGCGAAGGCAGCUGACGGGAGCGCUACUGACGCUCAUGCUCGAAAGCGCGGGUAUCGAACAGGAUUAGAUACCCUGGUAGUCCGCGCGGUAAACGAUGGAUGCCCGCUAUUUGCGCAUUAGCGCAAGUGGCCAAGUGAAAACGUUAAGCAUCCCACCUGGGGAGUACGCCGGCAACGGUGCAACUCAAAGGAAUUGACGG
RNAcentral lists this ribosomal RNA (920 nucleotides) under uncultured Bacteroidota bacterium. Its description in RNAcentral is "bacterial SSU rRNA". It matches the Rfam family "Bacterial small subunit ribosomal RNA", at positions 1 to 916 of the family's 1533-position model. The record is from RNAcentral. Lineage: Bacteria; Pseudomonadati; Bacteroidota.